Molecule: ribosomal RNA, 98 nt
Organism: Poecilia formosa (Amazon molly)
Lineage: Eukaryota; Metazoa; Chordata; Actinopteri; Cyprinodontiformes; Poeciliidae
Source: Ensembl
AUUUAAAAAAAGAACGCCUGAUCUUGGAAGCUAAGCAGGGUCGGGCCUAGUUAGUACUUGGAUGGAAGACCGCCUGGGAAUACCAGGUGCUGUAAGCC